UAGGUGGCAAGCGUUGUCCGGAUUUAUUGGGCGUAAAGCGAGCGCAGGCGGAAGAAUAAGUCUGAUGUGAAAGCCCUCGGCUUAACCGAGGAACUGCAUCGGAAACUGUUUUCCUUGAGUGCAGAAGAGGAGAGUGGAACUCCAUGUGUAGCGGUGGAAUGCGUAGAUAUAUGGAAGAACACCAGUGGCGAAGGCGGCUCUCUGGUCUGCAACUGACGCUGAGGCUCGAAAGCAUGGGUAGCGAA
Molecule: ribosomal RNA, 245 nt
Filed under: uncultured bacterium
Lineage: Bacteria
Description: partial 16S ribosomal RNA
Rfam family: Bacterial small subunit ribosomal RNA
Source: RNAcentral